UGGUCAGGUUAUUCUUAUGGAAUGUGUUCUGGACUGGGUUAGACUGGUUUAGACUGGGUUAGACUGGUUUUCAACUGGGUUAGACUGGUUUUCGACUGGGUUAGACUGGUUUUGGACUGAGUUAGACUGGUUUAGACUGGCUUUUGACUGAUUUUUAACUGAUUUUGGGUUGGUUCUGUGUUAGUUUAGACUGGUUGCUCUCAAACUGAUGACCAAACUUUGUCUUAUGAAACAGAUACUAGAAUUGGAUUUUGACAGUUCUAGAACUGGGUUUUAGAUUUCUGGGGUUUUUAAUUGUUUUGUGUAAUAUAUUUUAGACUGAGCUUGGUCCUAGUUUCAGACUGGUUUUUGACUGGUGUUAAACUGGUUGCAGACUGGUUUAGACUUUAUUUCAGACUGAUUUUAGACCGGUUUUAAACUUUAUUUCAGACUGGAUUUAGACUUUAAUUCAGACUGGAUUGGGACUUCAAUUUGAGACUGGUUUCAGACAGGUUCUGGCCUGGUUUCAGACAGGUUCUGGCCUGGUUUCAGACAGGUUCUGGCCUGGUUUCAGACAGGUUCUGGCCUGGUUUCAAACUGGCUCUGGCCUGGUUUCAGACUGGUUCUGGCCUGGUUUCAGACUGGUUCUGGCCUGGUUUCAGGCUGGUUCUAGCCUGGUUUCAGACUGGUUCUGGCCUGCUCUCAGACUGGUUCUGACCUGCUCUCAGACAGGUUCUGGCCUGGUUUCAGACUGGUUCUGGCCUGGUUUCAGACUGGUUCUAGCCUGGUUUCAGACUGGUUCUGGCCUGGUUUCAGACUGGUUCUAGCCUGGUUUCAGACAGGUUCUGGCCUGGUUUCAGACUGGCUCUGGCCUGCUCUCAGACUGGUUCUGGCCUGCUCUCAGACUGGUUCUGGCCUGCUCUCAGACUGGCUCUGGCCUGGUUUCAGACUGGUUCUGGCCUGGUUUCAAACUGGUUCUUAAGUGAUUCCGUCUGGGUUUUACCUCCAGCUCGUCUCGGAGGUCUGAUUUCCUGCAGCAGCCGUUCUGUGUUUCUGUCGUCUUGUUUGUCGUUUCCGUUAAUCGCUGCAAUUAUCGUCCUGAUUGGAGGCUGGCUGGGAAACUCAGCAGGGACCAGAGUGUGUGUGUGUGUGUGUUACUGUGUGUGUGUGUGUGUGUGUAUGUGUGUGUGUGUGUUACUGUGUGUGUGUGUGUGUGUGUGUGUGUGUGUGUGUGUGUAAUUCAAUUCAGUGCAGAUUAAAAUGAGGCAGAGCAGCGAGUGAUUGAAGGUUAUGGAGGAAGAAUAAUAUUCUCCCCGCAUGUUAUGUGUGUGUGUGUGUGUGUGUGUGUGUGUAUGUGUGUGUGUUUGCAGGAUUGUGCGUUUUGACAGCUGCUGCACAGGAGAUUUCCUCAGGGCAGCGAGGACACACACACUCACACCAAAACACACACACACACACAGACACACACCUCUGGGCGUUUGCUGAUGCGUGGCAGCGAGCGGCUUCGUUUGACAGACGCUGCCGCGCACACACACGACACACAAAGACGAGGCGACACACAAACACAUUAACGCGCAGACACACACACACCAACGUGCACACACCUACAUGCACGGGAUGUCUGGCUGCCGGAGACGGUUGCCGUGGCGUCAGCAGCUCAGCGAUGCAGCUUCAUCCAUUUUCACCUGCUGCUGGUGGAAAUAAAAACCGGCUGUUUGGACUUUAGUUCCACCGCAGAGAAUUUAAUUACAGACAAAAUAAAAACAUCUGUUUAUUACUUUAUAAUCAUAAUAUUAAUAAUAUGUAAUUACAAACAAAAUAAAAGCAUCAACAUAUUAUUGAAUUAUUAUAAUAAUGUUAAUAAUAUAGUAAGAAUAUUGAGUGAACAGGAGCAGAUUUUAUUAUCUCAUUUUCUAAUUAGACUACAUUCAGUAAAUACCAUCCAGUAGGUCCACCACUCUCUGGGCACCACCUCAGCACACCGCCCCCUGGUGGUGGAGACUGGCUCUGGGGAUGUGGGACAUCACCUCACUGGGUGGAAGGAACCUGAGCUGGUGGAGGUGAAGCAGUACCUGCUAGAUAUGGUUGGACUCACCUCCAUGCACAGAAAACGUUCUGGAACCAGAAUCCUUCAGAGAGGUUGGACUCUCUUCUUCUCCAGAGUUGUCCAGGGUGAGAGGCUCUGGGUGGGUGUGAGGAAACUCAGGAGCCCCCGGCUGAGCGUCGCUUUGUUGGAGUUCUCCUGUUGUCUAUUCUUAUGAACCAACAGCAGUUCAAAGUUUUCAACUCCAACCUCUGGGAGAGCUUCUUCUGCAUCCUGGGGGAGGUUGGGGACAUGGAGUCUGAGUGGUCCAUGUUCAAAGCCUCCAUUGCAGAAGCAGCUGUUAGGCGCUGUGACCUGAAGGUCACUGGUGUCUGUCGACAACUCAAAAACCUGCUGGUGGACACCAGUGGUGAGGGAAGUCGUCAGGUUGAAGGAGGACUAGUUGGGCCUGGUUGGCCCCGGGGUCUCCUGAAGCAGCUGACAGGAACCGGUUGGCCUAAAGGGCUGCAGCUGUGGAAGCUAAAACUCGGAUGUGGGAGGAGUUCGGGGAGGCUAUGGAGAAGGACUUUCAUUUAGCCUCAAGGAGGUUCUGGAAAACUGUUGGACGCCUCAGGAAGGGGAGGCUUUACCAGGCUGUGUACAGUCGGGGUGGAGAACUGUUGACCCAUACUGGGGACAUUGGCCGGUAGAAAGAGCACUUUGAGGAACUCCUGAACCCGGUAAACACGUCCUCUAUGGGGGAGGUGGAGCCUGAAGACUCGGGAAAUCUUCAUUCAUAUCCAUGAAAGAGGUCGCGGAGGUAGUAAAGAAGCUCCUCGGUGGUACCAGGUGUAGAUGAGAUCCUCCCUGAGAUGCUGAAGGUUCUGGACAUUGUUGGACUGUCUUGGCUGGCACGUCUCUACAAUGUGGACAUCAGGUACGGUACCUGUGGAGUGGCAGACUGGGGUGGUGGUUCCCAUUUUUAAAAAGGGGGACCAGAGAGUGAGUUCCAGCUAUCAGGAUAUCACACUUCUCAGCCUCCCCAGGAAAGUUUCCUCUAGAGUACUGGAAGGGAGACUCUGACUGAUUAUUGAACUUCAGAUUCAGGAGGAACAAUGUGGAUUCUGUCCUGGUCGUGGAACGGUGGUCAGAUCUUUACUCUUGUGGGGCUGCUGAGGGGGUCAUGGGAGUUGGACCUGCCAGUCUACAUGUGUUUGUGGAUCUGGAGAAGGUCUAUGACAGUGUCCCCUGAGGACCUCUGUGGGGAUACUGAGGGAGUAUGGGGUACCAGACUCUCUGAUACGAGACAUCCAGUCCCUGACCAAAGUGAAGGAGUUCAAGUAUCUCAGGAUCUUGUUCAGUAGUGAUGAGAAAAUGGAGCUAGAGAUGGACAGGAGGAUUGGUGCAGCAUCAGCAGUAUUGAAGGCGUUGGACUGAACCAUCAUGGUGAAGAGGGAGCUGAGUCUCAAGGAGAAGAUCUCAGUUUACCGUCCAUCUACGCUCCAACACUCACCUAUGGUCAUGAGCUCUGGGUAGUGACCCAAAGGAUGAGAUCAUGGAUACAAGCGUCUGAAAUGAGCUUCCUCUGUAGGGUGUCUGAGCUCAGCCUUAGAGAUAGGAGGAGAGUCAACAUGAGAGUUCAGACAGAAUCCUCAUGUUCACCGUGCUUGACUUAAAGAUGAAUCCUCCUCAUGAGCCUCAGGCUGCACACACACACACACACACACACACACACACACACACACACACACACACACAGAAAUCCACACAAACCAGAGUUGUGAGAGCAGAGGUGGUGACAGCGCUAUUUUCAACCCAGCCUGCCAAAGUAGGUGUGUGUGUGUGUGUGUGUGUGUGUGUGUGUGUGUGUGUGUGUGUGUGUGUGUGUGUGUGUGUGUGUGUGUGUGUGUGUGUGUGUGUGUGUGUGUGUGUGUGUGUGUGUGUGUGUGUGUGUGUGUGUAAGAAUAACCAUGUGACAGUGAUGGAUGAACGGAAACCUUCUGUGUGUUUAAUUGCUUUGUGGGUAAGAAAACCUCAAGUUAAUCACUUCAAAUGUCUCUUUUUUCCUCACACAAACAAAAACACACAAACACACACUGACAAACACAAACAAAAACACACACAUACCAAACACACACUAACAAACAAAAACACUCACAC
This is a long non-coding RNA of Acanthochromis polyacanthus (spiny chromis), 4162 nucleotides long. RefSeq lists it as uncharacterized. Lineage: Eukaryota; Metazoa; Chordata; Actinopteri; Pomacentridae. The transcript has 2 exons. The record is from RefSeq and is a predicted model, not a curated record.